AGACUGAUAAAAAGAAGACAAAGAAGGGAAAGAAGAAGAAGGGGAAGAAGGGGAAGAAAUGAACAUCGCAUUGUCGACAAGCUUUUUUUCGUAAAUGUUUUUGAUGUCGUUGCUGGUUUGAUUAAUUUUUUUCCUUU
RNAcentral lists this non-coding RNA (137 nucleotides) under Leptocylindrus danicus. Lineage: Eukaryota; Bacillariophyta; Leptocylindrophyceae; Leptocylindrales; Leptocylindraceae. The record is from RNAcentral.